UUAAGCGACUAAGCGUACACGGUGGAUGCCCUGGCAGUCAGAGGCGAUGAAGGACGUGCUAAUCUGCGAUAAGCGUCGGUAAGGUGAUAUGAACCGUUAUAACCGGCGAUUUCCGAAUGGGGAAACCCAGUGUGUUUCGACACACUAUCAUUAACUGAAUCCAUAGGUUAAUGAGGCGAACCGGGGGAACUGAAACAUCUAAGUACCCCGAGGAAAAGAAAUCAACCGAGAUUCCCCCAGUAGCGGCGAGCGAACGGGGAGCAGCCCAGAGCCUGAAUCAGUGUGUGUGUUAGUGGAAGCGUCUGGAAAGGCGCGCGAUACAGGGUGACAGCCCCGUACACAAAAAUGCACAUGCUGUGAGCUCGAUGAGUAGGGCGGGACACGUGGUAUCCUGUCUGAAUAUGGGGGGACCAUCCUCCAAGGCUAAAUACUCCUGACUGACCGAUAGUGAACCAGUACCGUGAGGGAAAGGCGAAAAGAACCCCGGCGAGGGGAGUGAAAAAGAACCUGAAACCGUGUACGUACAAGCAGUGGGAGCACAGAGCAAUCUGUGUGACUGCGUACCUUUUGUAUAAUGGGUCAGCGACUUAUAUUCUGUAGCAAGGUUAACCGAAUAGGGGAGCCGAAGGGAAACCGAGUCUUAACUGGGCGUUAAGUUGCAGGGUAUAGACCCGAAACCCGGUGAUCUAGCCAUGGGCAGGUUGAAGGUUGGGUAACACUAACUGGAGGACCGAACCGACUAAUGUUGAAAAAUUAGCGGAUGACUUGUGGCUGGGGGUGAAAGGCCAAUCAAACCGGGAGAUAGCUGGUUCUCCCCGAAAGCUAUUUAGGUAGCGCCUCGUGAAUUCAUCUCCGGGGGUAGAGCACUGUUUCGGCAAGGGGGUCAUCCCGACUUACCAACCCGAUGCAAACUGCGAAUACCGGAGAAUGUUAUCACGGGAGACACACGGCGGGUGCUAACGUCCGUCGUGAAGAGGGAAACAACCCAGACCGCCAGCUAAGGUCCCAAAGUCAUGGUUAAGUGGGAAACGAUGUGGGAAGGCCCAGACAGCCAGGAUGUUGGCUUAGAAGCAGCCAUCAUUUAAAGAAAGCGUAAUAGCUCACUGGUCGAGUCGGCCUGCGCGGAAGAUGUAACGGGGCUAAACCAUGCACCGAAGCUGCGGCAGCGACGCUUAUGCGUUGUUGGGUAGGGGAGCGUUCUGUAAGCCUGCGAAGGUGUGCUGUGAGGCAUGCUGGAGGUAUCAGAAGUGCGAAUGCUGACAUAAGUAACGAUAAAGCGGGUGAAAAGCCCGCUCGCCGGAAGACCAAGGGUUCCUGUCCAACGUUAAUCGGGGCAGGGUGAGUCGACCCCUAAGGCGAGGCCGAAAGGCGUAGUCGAUGGGAAACAGGUUAAUAUUCCUGUACUUGGUGUUACUGCGAAGGGGGGACGGAGAAGGCUAUGUUGGCCGGGCGACGGUUGUCCCGGUUUAAGCGUGUAGGCUGGUUUUCCAGGCAAAUCCGGAAAAUCAAGGCUGAGGCGUGAUGACGAGGCACUACGGUGCUGAAGCAACAAAUGCCCUGCUUCCAGGAAAAGCCUCUAAGCAUCAGGUAACAUCAAAUCGUACCCCAAACCGACACAGGUGGUCAGGUAGAGAAUACCAAGGCGCUUGAGAGAACUCGGGUGAAGGAACUAGGCAAAAUGGUGCCGUAACUUCGGGAGAAGGCACGCUGAUAUGUAGGUGAAGUCCCUCGCGGAUGGAGCUGAAAUCAGUCGAAGAUACCAGCUGGCUGCAACUGUUUAUUAAAAACACAGCACUGUGCAAACACGAAAGUGGACGUAUACGGUGUGACGCCUGCCCGGUGCCGGAAGGUUAAUUGAUGGGGUCAGCGCAAGCGAAGCUCUUGAUCGAAGCCCCGGUAAACGGCGGCCGUAACUAUAACGGUCCUAAGGUAGCGAAAUUCCUUGUCGGGUAAGUUCCGACCUGCACGAAUGGCGUAAUGAUGGCCAGGCUGUCUCCACCCGAGACUCAGUGAAAUUGAACUCGCUGUGAAGAUGCAGUGUACCCGCGGCAAGACGGAAAGACCCC
Molecule: ribosomal RNA, 2066 nt
Filed under: Escherichia coli UMEA 3176-1
Lineage: Bacteria; Pseudomonadati; Pseudomonadota; Gammaproteobacteria; Enterobacterales; Enterobacteriaceae
Description: bacterial LSU rRNA
Rfam family: Bacterial large subunit ribosomal RNA
Source: RNAcentral